UAAUACAUCGGAACGUGCCCUGUAGUGGGGGAUAACUAGUCGAAAGAUUAGCUAAUACCGCAUACGACCUGAGGGUGAAAGUGGGGGACCGCAAGGCCUCAUGCUAUAGGAGCGGCCGAUGUCUGAUUAGCUAGUUGGUGAGGUAAAGGCUCACCAAGGCGACGAUCAGUAGCUGGUCUGAGAGGACGAUCAGCCACACUGGGACUGAGACACGGCCCAGACUCCUACGGGAGGCAGCAGUGGGGAAUUUUGGACAAUGGGCGAAAGCCUGAUCCAGCAAUGCCGCGUGUGUGAAGAAGGCCUUCGGGUUGUAAAGCACUUUUGUCCGGAAAGAAAUGGCUCUGGUUAAUACCUGGGGUCGAUGACGGUACCGGAAGAAUAAGGACCGGCUAACUACGUGCCAGCAGCCGCGGUAAUACGUAGGGUCCAAGCGUUAAUCGGAAUUACUGGGCGUAAAGCGUGCGCAGGCGGUUGUGCAAGACCGAUGUGAAAUCCCCGAGCUUAACUUGGGAAUUGCAUUGGUGACUGCACGGCUAGAGUGUGUCAGAGGGGGUGUAGAAUUCCACGUGUAGCAGUGAAAUGCGUAGAGAUGUGGAGGAAUACUGAUGGCGAAAGGCAGCCCCCUGGGAUAACACUGACGCUCAUGCACGAAAGCGUGGGGAGCAACCAGGAUUAGAUACCCUGGUAGUCCACGCCCCAAACGAUGUCAACUUAGUUGCUGGGGAUUCAUUUCCU
This 735-nucleotide ribosomal RNA is filed under the name Ralstonia sp. LB_B3A. RNAcentral's name for it is "bacterial SSU rRNA". It matches the Rfam family "Bacterial small subunit ribosomal RNA", at positions 111 to 840 of the family's 1533-position model. Lineage: Bacteria; Pseudomonadati; Pseudomonadota; Betaproteobacteria; Burkholderiales; Burkholderiaceae. The record is from RNAcentral.